GAGGUUAAGCGACUAAGCGUACACGGUGGAUGCCCUGGCAGUCAGAGGCGAUGAAGGGCGUACUAAUCUGCGAUAAGCGCCGGUAAGGUGAUAUGAACCGUUAUAACCGGCGAUACCCGAAUGGGGAAACCCAGUGUGACUCGUCACACUAUCAUUAACUGAAUCCAUAGGUUAAUGAGGCGAACCGGGGGAACUGAAACAUCUAAGUACCCCGAGGAAAAGAAAUCAACCGAGAUUCCCCCAGUAGCGGCGAGCGAACGGGGAGGAGCCCAGAGCCUGAAUCAGCAUGUGUGUUAGUGGAAGCGUCUGGAAAGGCGCGCGAUACAGGGUGACAGCCCCGUACACAAAAGCGCAUGUGCUGUGAGCUCGAUGAGUAGGGCGGGACACGUGGUAUCCUGUCUGAAUAUGGGGGGACCAUCCUCCAAGGCUAAAUACUCCUGACUGACCGAUAGUGAACCAGUACCGUGAGGGAAAGGCGAAAAGAACCCCGGCGAGGGGAGUGAAAAAGAACCUGAAACCGUGU
This 523-nucleotide ribosomal RNA is filed under the name Salmonella enterica subsp. enterica serovar Enteritidis. RNAcentral describes it as "partial 23S ribosomal RNA". It matches the Rfam family "Bacterial large subunit ribosomal RNA", at positions 1 to 561 of the family's 2925-position model. Lineage: Bacteria; Pseudomonadati; Pseudomonadota; Gammaproteobacteria; Enterobacterales; Enterobacteriaceae. The record is from RNAcentral.